AGUCAAGUAAUUAAGUGCAUGUGGUGGAUGCCUUGGCAGUCAGAGGCGAUGAAAGACGUGAUAGCCUGCGAAAAGCUCCGGGGAGGCGGCAAAUAUCCUUUGAUCCGGAGAUGUCUGAAUGGGGGAACCCACCUACUUUAAGGUAGGUAUUGCAACAUGAAUACAUAGUGUUGCAAGGCGAACGAGGGGAAGUGAAACAUCUCAGUACCCUUAGGAAAAGAAAUCAAUUGAGAUUCCCUCAGUAGCGGCGAGCGAACGGGGAUCAGCCCAUUAAGUUAUGUGUGUUUUAGUGGAACGCUCUGGGAAGUGCGAACGUAGAGGGUGAUAUUCCCGUACACGAAAGGGCACACAUAAUGAUGACGAGUAGGGCGAGGCACGUGAAACCUUGUCUGAAUAUGGGGGGACCAUCCUCCAAGGCUAAAUACUCCUGACUGACCGAUAGUGAACCAGUACCGUGAGGGAAAGGCGAAAAGAACCCCUGUGAGGGGAGUGAAAUAGAUCCUGAAACCGCAUGCAUACAAGCAGUGGGAGCACCUUCGUGGUGUGACUGCGUACCUUUUGUAUAAUGGGUCAGCGACUUAUAUUCAGUAGCGAGGUUAACCGUAUAGGGGAGCCGUAGAGAAAUCGAGUCUUAAUAGGGCGUUUAGUUGCUGGGUAUAGACCCGAAACCAGGCGAUCUAUCCAUGAGCAGGUUGAAGGUUGGGUAACACUAACUGGAGGACCGAACCCACUGUCGUUGAAAAGCCAGGGGAUGACUUGUGGAUAGGGGUGAAAGGCUAAUCAAGCCUGGUGAUAGCUGGUUCUCCCCGAAAGCUAUUUAGGUAGCGCCUCGGACGAAUACCAUAGGGGGUAGAGCACUGUUUCGGCUAGGGGGUCAUCCCGACUUACCAAACCGAUGCAAACUCCGAAUACCUAUGAGUACUAUCCGGGAGACAGACUGCGGGUGCUAACGUCCGUAGUCAAGAGGAAAACAAUCCAGACCGCCAGCUAAGGCCCCAAAAUCAUAGUUAAGUGGGAAACGAUGUGGGAAGGCAUAGACAGCUAGGAGGUUGGCUUAGAAGCAGCCACCCUUUAAAGAAAGCGUAAUAGCUCACUAGUCGAGUCGGCCUGCGCGGAAGAUGUAACGGGGCUAAAACUAUGUGCCGAAGCUGCGGAUUNNNNNNNNNNNNNNNNNNNNNNNNNNNNNNNNNNNNNNNNNNNNNNNNNNNNNNNNNNNNNNNNNNNNNNNNNNNNNNNNNNNNNNNNNNNNNNNAAGUAUGCUGGAGGUAUCAGAAGUGCGAAUGCUGACGUGAGUAACGACAAAACGGGUGAAAAACCCGUUCGCCGAAAGACCAAGGGUUCCAGUCCAACGUUAAUCGGGGCUGGGUGAGUCGACCCCUAAGGCGAGGCCGAAAGGCGUAGUCGAUGGGAAAAUGGUUAAUAUUCCAUUACUUCUGUGUAAUGCGAUGAGAGGACGGAGAAGGCUAAAUCAGCCUGGCGUUGGUUGUCCAGGUGAAAGGAUGUAGGCAUGUAUCUUAGGCAAAUCCGGGGUACUCUAUGCUGAGAUCUGAUAGCAAGCUGUACUUGUACAGCGAAGUGGUUGAUGCCAUGCUUCCAGGAAAAGUCUCUAAGCUUCAGUUACACAGGAAUCGUACCCGAAACCGACACAGGUGGUCAGGUCGAGUAGACCAAGGCGCUUGAGAGAACUCUGCUGAAGGAACUAGGCAAAAUGGUACCGUAACUUCGGGAGAAGGUACGCUGUUGUUGGUGAUGGAACUCGCUUCCUGAGCUGACGACAGCCGCAGAAACCAGGCCGCUGCAACUGUUUAUUAAAAACAUAGCACUCUGCAAACACGAAAGUGGACGUAUAGGGUGUGAUGCCUGCCCGGUGCUGGAAGGUUAAUUGAUGGGGUUAGCGUAAGCGAAGCUCUUGAUCGAAGCCCCAGUAAACGGCGGCCGUAACUAUAACGGUCCUAAGGUAGCGAAAUUCCUUGUCGGGUAAGUUCCGACCUGCACGAAUGGCAUAAUGAUGGCGGCGCUGUCUCCAGCAGAGGCUCAGUGAAAUCGAAAUCGCUGUGAAGAUGCAGUGUACCCGCGGCUAGACGGAAAGACCCCGUGAACCUUUACUGCAGCUUGACACUGAACUUUGACCUUACUUGUGUAGGAUAGGUGGGAGGCUUUGAAGCUGGAACGCUAGUUCCAGUGGAGCCGUCCUUGAAAUACCACCCUGGUAAUGUUGAGGUUCUAACUCUGUCCCGUGAUCCGGGACGAGGACCGUGUCUGGUGGGUAGUUUGACUGGGGCGGUCUCCUCCUAAAGAGUAACGGAGGAGUACGAAGGUGCGCUCAGCGUGGUCGGAAAUCACGCGUAGAGUAUAAAGGCAAAAGCGCGCUUAACUGCGAGACCCACAAGUCGAGCAGGUACGAAAGUAGGUCUUAGUGAUCCGGUGGUUCUGUAUGGAAGGGCCAUCGCUCAACGGAUAAAAGGUACUCUGGGGAUAACAGGCUGAUACCGCCCAAGAGUUCAUAUCGACGGCGGUGUUUGGCACCUCGAUGUCGGCUCAUCUCAUCCUGGGGCUGAAGCAGGUCCCAAGGGUAUGGCUGUUCGCCAUUUAAAGAGGUACGCGAGCUGGGUUUAGAACGUCGUGAGACAGUUCGGUCCCUAUCUACCGUGGGCGCUGGAAAUUUGAGAGGAUCUGCUCCUAGUACGAGAGGACCAGAGUGGACGAACCUCUGGUGUACCGGUUGUGACGCCAGUCGCAUCGCCGGGUAGCUAUGUUCGGAAGGGAUAACCGCUGAAAGCAUCUAAGCGGGAAGCCUACCUCAAGAUAAGAUUUCCCUAGGACUUUAUGUCCUCUAAAGAGCCGUUCGAGACUAGGACGUUGAUAGGUUGGAUGUGGAAGCAUAGUGAUAUGUGAAGCUGACCAAUACUAAUUGCUCGUGAGGCUUGACUAU
Molecule: ribosomal RNA, 2932 nt
Filed under: Acinetobacter baumannii
Lineage: Bacteria; Pseudomonadati; Pseudomonadota; Gammaproteobacteria; Moraxellales; Moraxellaceae
Description: 23S ribosomal RNA
Rfam family: Bacterial large subunit ribosomal RNA
Source: RNAcentral